RNAcentral lists this transfer RNA (113 nucleotides) under Belgica antarctica. Its description in RNAcentral is "tRNA-Leu for anticodon CAA". It matches the Rfam family "tRNA". Rfam says of the family: Transfer RNA (tRNA) molecules are approximately 80 nucleotides in length. Their secondary structure includes four short double-helical elements and three loops (D, anti-codon, and T loops). The record is from RNAcentral. Lineage: Eukaryota; Metazoa; Arthropoda; Insecta; Diptera; Chironomidae.
GCCAAUUUGGCCGAGUUGGUUAAGGCGUCAGACUCAAGAGAAAUCUUCCUAGGGAACUAGGCGAGUGUUCUGAUCCACUUCUGUGGGCGUGAGUUCGAAUCUCACAGUUGGCA